GCGGCUGCCAGCCACCUGGAUUGUUGUUUGUUGGUGGCCGCCUGUUGUUUGUGUUUCCUUCAGUCAGAUCCUGCCAGGGGUUUGUAGGGCAUUCUCGUCUGGAGUGUCCUGAUUGGUGGCAACCCCAACAGACACCAGGUGGCCCCCUAGGGUUCCUGGGUCCCUUUCUCUGAUCUGCCUGUGUAUUUUUCUGUUGUUUAUUUCCACCAUUCCAAUUAGGGGGCUGUGUGUAUACAUUUACUACUAGCAGUACGGUAGGCAUUUGGGCCCGCCUGGGGGUUGACGGUUGCGGCCCUCCUGGGGAAACGGCAGACAUUGUUCCUACCUCGGGCACAGGGGUGGUUACUGAGGCAUGGACUUUCUUCUUUCCUUUGUUGGUUAAUUCAUCCAGCUGCAACUGGGCCAGCUUUCUCUGAAUGUCUUUUCCUUGUUCAAUCUGUCUCUGUUCGUCCUUCCUGUGUUUUUCCACGGCAUGAAUCACAUAGUCACAGAACUCUUUGUAAGGUUUUGAAGUAAGCCCCACCACAUCCUCCAGUCUGUUCCUUACCGGCUCGGGCAUGGCUUCCAUCACAGAAGUUCGGAACAUUGCUGUCAUUAGUUCAUUUCCUUCUGGAUCUUGUUCUGUUUCCAUUCUCCAUCUUUCCAAAUGUCCAUGUAAGUACGUGGCCGGGUUUUCUGUAGCUCCAAUAGCUUCACCUCUCAGAGCUUUGAGGUCAAACUUCGUUGGGUAUGCUGCCCUUAAUGCACGCCAGACGGCAGGUCUAUACCUGUCGAACAUCAGUCCAUCCUUCGUCACCUCCCAAUCUGUGCCGUUGAUCGCACCAUCCUGCAUGAUUUCUCUCAGUUUCUGCACGCUCGUCACCCUCCCUAGCAAUGCCUUUAUGUCACCCACCACCACCAAUUUCCCCAUCGUGUAUUCUUCAAAGGUUCUGAUCCACUUCCCUGCUCCCUCAUGGAGAUCUGGCAAGCGGAAAACCAACCCCUCCAUGUCCUGUGCAGCCCAUGGUAUAUAGUGUCCUUGCUCUCCUUUUAUCAGGAUCUGCCACUGUUUUUCAUAAUAACCAGAUUCUUUCCUAGACCCAUUCCUACGAGCCCUGCAAUAUUUCCCUGCAGGCUCAUUUCUCAGGCUCUCAUUCAUACUACGGGCCAAGGCCUCAUCCUGUCUUUCUUGCCUUCUUAUGUUUUCUUCGUGUGUUGAUUUUGACCGUCCCAGUUUCUCUUCUAUUCUUUGUCCUUCUCUCUCUAUUUGUCCCCUACAGGAUGUAUCAUUCUCUUCCUCUUCCUCUUCCUCUUCCGCCUCGCUCGGACUAUUACCUGAUGCCCAUUCUGCUAGUGUGUUUUGGCUUUUCCUGGAGUUGCCCUCCGUUUGGUCUUUUGUUAUUUUUGUUUGCAGCUCUGACGUCUCCCUUUCUCCUAUUUCCGUUUCCAUUGCUGUUAGGGCUUUCCUCAGGCCACUAUAGCAAUCGAAACCUUCUUCUUUUUGUUCCUAUAUGCUUCAUAGUUCUUUUCUUGCCUUGUUCUGUUGAAUGUGAAGGUGCACACGUUGCUCUAGGUGUGGUGAUCCCUUCCUUUUCUUCCGUCACUUCCACUUCCCCUUUUAUUUCCACGUGUCCAGUUAUCAUGGGAAACUGUCCAUCGGAAUACGGCGGGGGGCUGGUCCCCCACUCCGUUUUCUCUUUGCUUGUGUUAUCGUUCUUCUUUAGUACUUCUCUUGCUGUCUUCAUGCUUUGUAACAAACCCACUCUUUCUUCCUUAAACAUUUUUAGUAUUUCGUUUUCUCUUUCUCGUUUAUUUUUCCUUUUUUGUUUCUUGUCCUUGGGUUUAUAGUUCUUUAUCAGCGUUUCCAUUUCCUCACACACAGUGACAUCCAACGUUCCCACUGCGGGCCAUUUGGUGUUUAAUUUUCUGGUGCGUUUUUCCCAUUUUAUAGACGUUUUUAUUAUUUCUUUUUUACUUAGGGGGUAUCUAGUCCCCAAAAUCUCUACCGGUGUCCUAUUCAUUUUAAUGAUGGUCUAUAGUUUAGCCUUAACUUGUUAAAUCCUCCUUGAUAUUUUUUUUCCUUUUGUUUUUAAUUCUUUGUAAUGUCUAUCCUUCUCAUUUAUAUUUAUUCACUCACUUUAUCCUAUCCUUAUUAUUACUUAUUGUUUUGCUCCUGUUUCACUCUAUUUAUUCUCAGUCCUAGUUCCUACUUUACCAGAUUUCUCCAGACCCUCUCUCUCUCUCUCUCUCUCUCUCUCUCUCUGUCUCUCUCUCUGUCUCUCUCUCUCUCUCUCUCCUAUUGUAAUCUGACUCUUCUCGUCCUUUCCCAGGCUGCAGCUCCAUUAGGGUCCUGCAGCUUCAAAGUGUUUAGUUGGCCACUGCUUCCCCCAUACUGUCCUUUAUGGUGCAGUAAUAUCUCUAGUAGGUUCUAUAGACCUAUACCAUGAUGCUGUUCUCUAUGUAUUUGUUGAUACUAUUUAUUCUAAAUAGCCUGAGUUAAUUGUUUUUACCAUAUAGUAUAUAUCUUAUGCCUUAUCUGUAGGUGGUGAACCUAAUCGGGUCGACGUUUUCCUGCUCUCUAACUAUUCACCCAGACCGACCCCCAUCUUGGGGCGAUAUUGUGAAUUUACUUAUUUAUUUGUUUUGCCCGAUCAGCGCAGGCGCAAGCCCCCUCCGCUAAACACCCGACACCAGCAAAGUUCACAGUUUACCACACUUUUUUUAGCCCUCACAGAUGUACAUAUUUAAUUACAUUUAACAACCCCCCAAAAUUCAUGCAUGCAUGCAGUUCUAUUGAAUUCAAAAGCUCUUAGUAUUUCUGUGUUUUUAGGAGUUUUUAAAGAGAGACCUACGUGACGUCCCCUCCGCUGAGACAGAAUCCCUGAAGCAAUCUACACAAACAUUUCAAACUAUCGUAAGAACAAGCUUACCUGUUUAUAGUUGGGUGGCCACCCGUUUGUGAGAUUGUCCAGAGAAACCGUCACCAGCCAAGAACGACACUGUCCGAGGUCUCUUCGAUCUCCUGGCAAGCUCGCCAAAUAUGUCGUGGAAAAUUGUCUUAAGAAUAUAAUACUCUUGCAAGAACUUUGUGAAUUCAAUAUAGACUUUAAUACAGAGUUGCAAAGCCGAGCCGGUCGAUGGAUCAAC
RNAcentral lists this long non-coding RNA (3126 nucleotides) under Salmo salar (Atlantic salmon). RNAcentral's name for it is "lncRNA (ENSSSAG00000085803.1)". Lineage: Eukaryota; Metazoa; Chordata; Actinopteri; Salmoniformes; Salmonidae. The record is from RNAcentral.